This 482-nucleotide ribosomal RNA is filed under the name uncultured bacterium. RNAcentral's name for it is "partial 16S ribosomal RNA". It matches the Rfam family "Bacterial small subunit ribosomal RNA", at positions 28 to 501 of the family's 1533-position model. The record is from RNAcentral.
GACGAACGCUGGCGGCGUGCUUAACGCAUGCAAGUCGAACGAUGAAGCCGGAGCUUGCUCUGGUGAAUUAGUGGCGAACGGGUGAGUAACACGUGAGUAACCUGCCCUUGACUCUGGGAUAACUGCGGGAAACUGUAGCUAAUACCGGAUACGACCCUCGGAGGCAUCUCCUGGGGGUGGAAAGAAUUUCGGUCAAGGAUGGACUCGCGGCCUAUCAGCUAGUUGGUGAGGUAAAGGCUCACCAAGGCGACCACGGGUAGCCGGCCUGAGAGGGUGACCGGCCACACUGGGACUGAGACACGGCCCAGACUCCUACGGGAGGCAGCAGUGGGGAAUUUUGGACAAUGGGGGCAACCCUGAUCCAGCCAUUCCGCGUGAGUGAAGAAGGCCUUCGGGUUGUAAAGCUCUUUCGGCAGGAACGAAACGGUGGCCCCUAAUACGGGUUACUAAUGACGGUACCUGAAGAAGAAGCACCGGCUAAC